CUAGAUGAGCUGACAGACCCUGGCUGAGCAGGAAGUGGCAGGGUCAGGAAAAGCUAGGCCACAAGUUUUCCCUUGAGAGCCUUAGAGUCUAGCCCUGUCGCCCAGGCUGGAGUGCCAUGGUUUGAACUCUACUCACCGCAACCUCCACCUCCCAGGUUCAAAUGAUUCUCCUGCCUCAGCCUCCUGAAUAUCUGGGAUUACAGAUUCUAACUCAAAUAGCUCAAAGGACACCUUCUCCGGGAAACCUUCCCUGACUUCCGACGCUGUUUCCUGUUACCCAUGAUGUACAUUAGAACACAGCAACUAUUUGAGUGAAAUAAGUAUUUUUAUUUAUUUCAAGAGGAAAGCAAAGUCGAAGGGUGUUCAGGGCUACAGUUUUGCUUGACCAGAUGUUGCCAAGUUUCAAAGUCAAAUCGGUUCAUCUCCUGGCUAUCAGCUAAAGGGUGUUGUAUUUGUAAGCAUUGAGAACUUCUAUCUACUGCUAUUGUAUUUUGCAUAUUUGUAUUUUCUGAGUUCUAUUUGAGAGAGACGGAAUUACGCAUUUCCAUAUGGAUCAUCCUCUUCCCUAUGUAUGUUGCUUUAUUGCCUUUUGGAAGAAAAAAAGUGAGAGUUGCAGUCUGUAUUUAGGCCAUUUCUAUGUUCUUUAUUGGGUUACGUUUGAAUGCCCAAUUUGAUCUCAAUGGCACGUCCUUUGUAACAUAAAAUAAAACAUGGUGCUCAGGAAAAGUAACGACACACACAUCCAGGCCCUUUCAUAGCAGUUGGUAAAGCUUAAGCCUUGCCUCUCUGUGUGGUAGUUUCCCUUCCCUUUCUUUUCGUUCCCUGUGACAAGCAGCCAUUGUCCCCUUGGUGAGAUCUGCAAUAUUACUUUGACCCCAGCCCAUCAAUCUGCCUCAAUUGGAUAAUGAUCUGUAAUCACGUUCUUUCAGGGGAGUCUAUAAAUUUGCCAAGGCCCCAUUCUCUUCUGAAGGACUCCUUAUGUUCACUCCCAUUUGUGCAAAUGUGCUCUCUUUUACAGGGCUAAAUAGCCAUGCACAUGGUCCAUUCUGUGAGGAGGCACCGGGCGGUUCUCUGUUGAUUUUCCACGCUCUAGUCUCUUAAAGGAGACUAAGGCUGACAUGCAGGGACACAGUGGGGGGGUGGCCCGAGCCAGGCCACAUCACAGGCAGCCGCUUUUCUCAUUAAGACUGACCCAUCAUUAGGUCACUUUGUGCCAUCCUUGUAAUCAAUGAGCUUAAUGUUUAGUGCAAAAAAAAAAAAAGUUAUUUAAGGAAAGGAGCUGGGAGCUGGAAGAGGAAAAGAGGAAAGAAAAAUGGUAGGAAGCAUGGAGAAAUUCACCACUUCUAAAUCUUAGGGUUGGUUAUACUUUGCCCAAAGGGUAGGAUGAACUCAAAUAUGCUACAUGUGAUUCCUCAAACAACCGCUUCCAGUCCUGUUUGUUUUCUGUAAAACGUAAAUAUUCUUAGACGCAACAUUUCCCCCAGGGGCCCCGCACUUCUCAUGAAGUCAGAUGAAGUGCUCUGUCUAUAACCGAGGCUGAAUCUGCAUUUGCUGGGAACCCUGUAGUGGUGAAGAGAGAGGUGGUCAAAGUCCGUGAGCAAUUGGGGUGGUUUUGGAGGGGUAAUUGGAUUUUGUUUAUUGUUGGAUCCCAAAGAGUUUCAUGACCACAGCCAAAUACAGCAAAUAAAAAAGAAAAAAUAUAUUAAAUUAAAAA
RNAcentral lists this long non-coding RNA (1714 nucleotides) under Homo sapiens (human). RNAcentral's name for it is "hepatocellular carcinoma up-regulated long non- coding RNA". Lineage: Eukaryota; Metazoa; Chordata; Mammalia; Primates; Hominidae. The record is from RNAcentral.